UGGGGGGAGGUGAGCUUUUGUUUUUAUUUUUUAUUUCUUAUUUUUUUUUCCUUCCUCUGGGGAGGAGGCUUCACUUUUGUGCCGGACUUAGGGAGGGGGUGUGUGAAGAGAAAGAGCUCUGCGGGUCACCCUGCUUUUGGCCGUCACCUAGCUGCUUUUGGCCCCGGCUCGCCUCCGUCCCCUCACGCCCUGUUCUGCCCACGGCCCGGACCUGCCUCGGAUUUCAUCGGAAAAGCCGGUACCAAUCUGCAGAGGAACUUUUGAGGGGAAGGGCUGUUCUUCCCCCCCAACUCCUUCUCCGUGCCAGUGGCAGUUUACACCCGCUGACGAGGAAGGGGAGUUCCAGCCGGAGCCUUUAACAGAGAGAACUGAGGGAUACUCAGUGACAUGAAAAGAUGACAAACACCCAGGAGUUCUCCAACAUGGUGUCUACUCAUGGGCCAGUCUUCUCUUUUUCUUUUUUUUUUUCCCCAAGAAGAAAGAUAAUUUGAAAAGAAGCUUUUAUAAAGCACACGGAAAAUACAUUAAUGCAAACUGAAGCAGCUGAUAGUUGCCUAAAAUGAAAGAGAUUUUUCUUGCAGGUUACCAGGAAUAUUGGCAAGGAGCUUGACGGACUGAUUUGAGCAAAGACUAUUCUGUGCUCAGACUUUCUGCAUCACACUUAGAGAUAUGUUUCUACACACAGUUAAUUCUUUGGAAAAUUCACAGGACAGAGUCAUAGAAUCGUUCAGGUUGGAAAAGGCCUUUAAGAUGAUCUAGUUCUACCCAUAUUAUCAGGAAUUAAUCAUUAAAGGCACUAAAUAUUUCAGUCUGGGAUUCUUUGUGAGCAAUAAUUUCACAGAGAACA
Molecule: long non-coding RNA, 847 nt
Organism: Pipra filicauda (Wire-tailed manakin)
Lineage: Eukaryota; Metazoa; Chordata; Aves; Passeriformes; Pipridae
Exons: 3
Source: RefSeq, a predicted model, not a curated record